Non-coding RNA from Pelobates cultripes (western spadefoot toad), 264 nucleotides. NCBI's taxonomy places the organism in Eukaryota, Metazoa, Chordata, Amphibia, Anura, Pelobatidae. The record is from the annotation of a GenBank genome assembly.
CACAGGGCCCCCAUCCAUCCCCUACCUUUCAGUGAAGAUCCGUUCGGGAGAGUAGCUGUCGACAUUAUAGUUGCGAUGGCAACUUUGCAUUCAGAUGUCGGCCCUAUCAACUUUCGAUGCCACUUUCUGCGCCUACCAUGGUGACCACGGGUAAUUGGGAAUCAGGGUUCGAUUCCGGAGUGGCAGCCUGAGAAAAGGCUACCACAUCCAAGGAAGGCAGCAGGCGCGCAAAUUACCCACUCCCGAAGCGGGGAGGAAGUGACG